This 398-nucleotide ribosomal RNA is filed under the name uncultured bacterium. Its description in RNAcentral is "bacterial SSU rRNA". It matches the Rfam family "Bacterial small subunit ribosomal RNA", at positions 358 to 773 of the family's 1533-position model. The record is from RNAcentral.
GGAAUAUUGGACAAUGGGCGCAAGCCUGAUCCAGCCAUGCCGCGUGGAUGAAGAAGGCCCUAGGGUUGUAAAGUCCUUUCGGUGGUGAAGAUAAUGACGGUAACCACAUAAGAAGCCCCGGCUAAUUUCGUUCCAGCAGCCGCGGUAAUACGAAAGGGGCUAGCGAUGUUCGGAAUUACUGGGCGUAAAGCGCACGUAGGCGGUUUUGUAAGUGGGGGGUGAAAACCCGGAGCUCAACUCCGGAACUGCCUCCAAAACUACAUGGCUUGAGGACGCGAGAGGAUAGUGGAAUUCCGAGUGUAGAGGUGAAAUUCGUAGAUAUUCGGAAGAACACCAGUGGCGAAGGCGACUGUCUGGCGCGUUUCUGACGCUGAGGUGCGAAAGCGUGGGGAGCAAAC